RNAcentral lists this microRNA precursor (108 nucleotides) under Lucilia cuprina (Australian sheep blowfly). RNAcentral's name for it is "mir-7 microRNA precursor". The record is from RNAcentral. Lineage: Eukaryota; Metazoa; Arthropoda; Insecta; Diptera; Calliphoridae.
GGGAAACUUUUUUUUGGAAAACUAUUGAUUUUUGCGUGUGAGGAGAGAAAUAUCAGCUAUCUCUUUUUCUCACACACAAAAUCAAAAGUUUCCUAAAAAAAAUUUCCU